UACGUAGGGGGCAAGCGUUGUCCGGAUUUAUUGGGCGUAAAGAGCGUGUAGGCGGUUUGGUAGGUCCGCUGUGAAAACUCGAGGCUCAACCUCGAGACGCCGGUGGAAACCAUCAGACUAGAGUCCGGAAGAGGAGAGUGGAAUUCCUGGUGUAGCGGUGAAAUGCGCAGAUAUCAUUUGGAACGCCAAUGGUGAAAACAGGUAGCUGGGGCUGUGCUGACGCUGAGACACGAAAGCCAGGGGAGCAAACGGG
Molecule: ribosomal RNA, 253 nt
Filed under: uncultured bacterium
Lineage: Bacteria
Description: partial 16S ribosomal RNA
Rfam family: Bacterial small subunit ribosomal RNA
Source: RNAcentral